Oryza sativa Japonica Group (Japanese rice) is the source of this 1225-nucleotide non-coding RNA. Lineage: Eukaryota; Viridiplantae; Streptophyta; Magnoliopsida; Poales; Poaceae. The record is from RefSeq and is a predicted model, not a curated record.
GACGCAAGUCACGCAACCAUUUCGACGUCUGCUCCUACAGAAAGGCAGAAACUUCCCAAAUCACAAGAGGGGGAAAAAGAAGAUAAAAAAGGAGAGAAAGAAGCCGUCAAAGGUAGUGGGGGCGGCGGCGCCUUGGAACUUGUUUUUUUUUUCUCUUGUGGCGAUCUGUGCGAAGAAAUCGAAGAACCCUACUACCUCUGUUCCCCCAGAUUCAGCGUCGAUUCCCCAAAUUGGCUCCCGCGGCCAGGCUGAGAUGGUACGGCUUCCUUCCCUAACGGGAGGUUGCUCCUUAGAAGGUUAGAUUGUAUGAAGAACUUGAUGACUCUAUGAUCGAUCAUCUUCUCCAGAUCCCCCUCCAUUCGUACGAUUCAGUGCAAAUUUCUAAGGGUUUUUUGAAGGCCUUUUGCAAUUCUUCAAGUCCUAAGUUUCAACUCUUCUACCUUUUCCUUUUUCUUUGGUGCCCUGAAGAGGCCAAGUUUAUUCUUCUUGAAUUUGUAGAUGCCGUGGAAAUUCUAAUCAGCUAACAAUGGUAUCUCUUUCCUUAGGUUUUCUGAUUGCGGAUUGGAGUGAUGAAUUUGAGACCAGUAGUUCUCAUCUUCCUCCUGCUUGUGCUCAUUAUCACAUCACAGUUUGAAUGGAAGCAGCAGGUUGGUGAGGCUGAGGCAAACCCAGCAGCUACACGGCGAAGGCAACAAGUAAUACUAAGGGAAGAUGCUGUUAAAGAGAAAAUAAUAUUGGCACAGGAGAAAAACAUUCAACAGCUAAAUGGGCUUAUUCAAAGCCUUCAGCUGCAGCUACUACAUUGCCGUCUCAGUAAUAGUACUGCUCACACCACCUCAAAUAAGUCGACGAACAACAGUGCAGUGGAGGGACAUAAAAUGAUUGAUGAUUAACCUCUCAGCUGUACUUGUAAUAGCAUAAUAGGUUGCUAACUUGAUGGUAUACAGCCAGCUCAAGAGCAGGCAUCUUUGAGGCAAUGAAUACCUUUAUCGUCAUCAUCCAGUAGGACGGAAGUAAGGCAUAUUGUUUUAUGUAUUGAAGCUGCGUGCUUAGCUUUUUCUAGCAUUAUCAUUGACAGUAUUAUCCUUUUUUUUUCUGCACAAUCUUGUACAGGAUUGUACUAUGUACCAUUUUUUUCUUACUUAUGUUGUAUCAUAAUGAUUGAAGUUACUUUCCUGAUUAACUACCAAAUAUAUAGUGCAGAUGUUUCAUCUGAUUCUUGGUC